UGGGAUGAAAUCCUGUUCCCAUUGAAGUCAAUGGGAGUUUUGCCAUUGACUUCAAUGGGAACAGGAUUUCACCCUA
Chelonia mydas (Green sea turtle) is the source of this 76-nucleotide non-coding RNA. NCBI's taxonomy places the organism in Eukaryota, Metazoa, Chordata, Testudines, Cheloniidae. The record is from Rfam.